ACGGAAGGAGAAAGAGGCGAAAGAAGAGGACUGCUGUAUUACCAAUCGGUCACGACCUACCAGUUCCCUCAGAGCUGACACAGGAAGUCCGGUCGUCGAUGAGAUUAGAAGCGGAUAGGAGAGAUAACAAUUUUGAUAAGGAGAACCGGCUACUUACGUCGUGGUCGACAUUCACGACCAUCAUCACCUCCGUCAGCACUGUCACUACGUUUGGCGCCAGCGUCAGUCUCCGCGUUGCGUGCACGAUUGGUGGGGUCAACUUCCCUCCCAUGUGCUAGCUGAUGUCUACGUAAACAGGCUCUAUGCUGCUUUGCUACGACGGUGUGCAAUUGGCGAUCAUUGUCUUAGAACGUAAAUUGCUAAGUAUG
This is a long non-coding RNA of Pollicipes pollicipes, 368 nucleotides long. RefSeq lists it as uncharacterized. Lineage: Eukaryota; Metazoa; Arthropoda; Thecostraca; Pollicipedomorpha; Pollicipedidae. The record is from RefSeq and is a predicted model, not a curated record. The transcript is spliced from 3 exons.